CGGCCGUGUGGGUGAGUUGGCUGCCGGUGAGUUGGGUGCCGGUGGAGUCGUGUUGGUCCUCAGAAUCCCCGCGUAGCCGCUGUCUCCACCUACCCUCGCCAUGUUUCUCACCCGGUCUGAGUACGACAGGGGCGUGAAUACUUUUUCUCCCGAAGGAAGAUUAUUUCAAGUGGAAUAUGCCAUUGAGGCUAUCAAGGUAUAGUAGCAAGUAGCAUAGUUCCUGAAAUUUCAUGGCUACCUAACAUUUUGCUGGCAGAACACUUGGAGUAAAUGUGGUUUAACCAUUCCUUUAGAAAAUGUUCUUAUAUCCC
Molecule: long non-coding RNA, 311 nt
Filed under: Pan troglodytes (chimpanzee)
Lineage: Eukaryota; Metazoa; Chordata; Mammalia; Primates; Hominidae
Description: long non-coding RNA NONPTRT001193
Source: RNAcentral